UAGGGAAUCUUCCGCAAUGGACGCAAGUCUGACGAAGCACCGCCGCGUGAGUGAAGAAGGAUUUCGGUUCGUAAAACUCUUUUGUUAGAGAAGAACAGCGCAUAGAGUAACUGUUAUGCGUGUGACGGUAUCUAACCAGAAAGCCACGGCUAACUACGUGCCAGCAGCCGCGGUAAUACGUAGGUGGCAAGCGUUGUCCGGAUUUAUUGGGCGUAAAGCGAGCGCAGGCGGUCAAUUAAGUCUGAUGUGAAAGCCCCCGGCUCAACCGGGGAGGGUCAUUGGAAACUGGUUGACUUGAGUGCAGAAGAGGAGAGUGGAAUUCCAUGUGUAGCGGUGAAAUGCGUAGAUAUAUGGAGGAACACCAGUGGCGAAGGCGACUCUCUGGUCUGUAACUGACGCUGAGGCUCGAAAGCGUGGGUAGCAAACAGG
Molecule: ribosomal RNA, 429 nt
Filed under: Bacteroidota bacterium
Lineage: Bacteria; Pseudomonadati; Bacteroidota
Description: Bacteroidetes bacterium partial 16S ribosomal RNA
Rfam family: Bacterial small subunit ribosomal RNA
Source: RNAcentral